Orbicella faveolata is the source of this 282-nucleotide long non-coding RNA. Lineage: Eukaryota; Metazoa; Cnidaria; Anthozoa; Scleractinia; Merulinidae. The record is from RefSeq and is a predicted model, not a curated record.
UGUAGCCCCUAGCAUCUAUGAAAAUGAAGAUAUUAAAAAAGGAAUCCUCUGUCAACUGUUUGGAGGAGCAAACAAGGAUUUUGCUGACACUGGAAGAGGAAAGUUUAGAUCAGAGGUGAAUAUUCUUCUUUGUGGUGAUCCUGGAACAAGCAAGUCACAGUUGUUACAGUAUGUUCAUAACCUUGUGCCUCGUGGUCAGUACACAUCUGGCAAGGGUUCAUCUGCAGUUGGUUUGACUGCUUAUGUCACAAGAGACCCAGAGACAAGGCAGCUGGUGCUACA